AUUGAACGCUGGCGGAAUGCUUUACACAUGCAAGUCGAACGGUAGAGGGGGCAACCCCUUGAGAGUGGCGAACGGGUGAGUAAUAUAUCGGAACGUGCCCAGUCGUGGGGAUAACGUAGCAAAAGUUACGCUAAUACCGCAUACGAUCUAAGGAUGAAAGCGGGGGACUCGCAAGAGCCUCGCGCGAUUGGAGCGGCCGAUAUCAGAUUAGGUAGUUGGUGAGGUAAAGGCUCACCAAGCCGACGAUCUGUAGCUGGUCUGAGAGGACGACCAGCCACACUGGGACUGAGACACGGCCCAGACUCCUACGGGAGGCAGCAGUGGGGAAUUUUGGACAAUGGGCGCAAGCCUGAUCCAGCAAUGCCGCGUGCAGGAUGAAGGCCUUC
RNAcentral lists this ribosomal RNA (386 nucleotides) under uncultured bacterium. Its description in RNAcentral is "bacterial SSU rRNA". It matches the Rfam family "Bacterial small subunit ribosomal RNA", at positions 30 to 419 of the family's 1533-position model. The record is from RNAcentral.